Molecule: ribosomal RNA, 253 nt
Filed under: uncultured bacterium
Lineage: Bacteria
Description: partial 16S ribosomal RNA
Rfam family: Bacterial small subunit ribosomal RNA
Source: RNAcentral
UACGUAUGGGGCAAGCGUUAUCCGGAUUUACUGGGUGUAAAGGGAGCGCAGGCGACCUGGCAAGCCUGAUGUGAAAUACCGGGGCCCAACCCCGGGGCUGCAUUGGGAACUGCCAGGCUGGAGUGCCGGAGAGGCAGGCGGAAUUCCUAGUGUAGCGGUGAAAUGCGUAGAUAUUAGGAGGAACACCAGUGGCGAAGGCGGCCUGCUGGACGGUGACUGACGCUGAGGCUCGAAAGCGUGGGGAGCAAACAGG